RNAcentral lists this unclassified non-coding RNA (271 nucleotides) under Ascomycota sp. Its description in RNAcentral is "partial contains small subunit ribosomal RNA, internal transcribed spacer 1, and 5.8S ribosomal RNA". The stretch from base 1 to 47 matches the Rfam family "Eukaryotic small subunit ribosomal RNA", at positions 1785 to 1831 of the family's 1831-position model. The record is from RNAcentral. Lineage: Eukaryota; Fungi; Ascomycota.
AAAGUCGUAACAAGGUUUCCGUAGGUGAACCUGCGGAAGGAUCAUUAGUAUACUGUGUAUCCUCACCGGAUACACACAAUAAACCCACCCGUGUAUUGUACCUGUUGCUUCCGCGCAGCUGUGACGUACGUCACCUCUGACGACGGCGAAAGCCGUCUGAGGGGCAGUCUUCGCGGGAGAUAUGUAUCACUUCACUGCAUUACCAUGACCUCAGUCUGAAAUUGACAUAGCAAAUGUUAAAAAACUUUCAACAACGGAUCUCUUGGUUCUC